CUCGUAGGCGGUUUGUCGCGUCGGGAGUGAAAACCUUGGGCUUAACUCAGGGCUUGCUUUCGAUACGGGCAGACUAGAGGUAUGCAGGGGAGAACGGAAUUCCUGGUGUAGCGGUGAAAUGCGCAGAUAUCAGGAGGAACACCGGUGGCGAAGGCGGUUCUCUGGGCAUGAUCUGACGCUGAGGAGCGAAAGUGUGGGGAGCGAACA
RNAcentral lists this ribosomal RNA (207 nucleotides) under uncultured bacterium. RNAcentral describes it as "partial 16S ribosomal RNA". It matches the Rfam family "Bacterial small subunit ribosomal RNA", at positions 568 to 774 of the family's 1533-position model. The record is from RNAcentral.